ACAAACUUCUCAGUAUGCUGUAUUUUCAUUUUUUAAAAUUACAGGGAUUUUUCCUGCUGGGACUGAAUAAUGCUGUUGACUGCAGCUGACCAUUUGAAGUUAGGAGGAUUUAAUUACUUCAUUGAAAGACUGAUUUUAGGACACCUGUGCCCUAUUAGCAACAGGUCAAGUAAGAUGGAAAAUGGAGUGAGAGGAAGAUGGUGGUUGGCCUGAAUUUUCCAGAUGCUUGGAGAGUUUCACGUGCACAAUAGAAAAAAAUAUUAGGAUAAACAGUGCUUUAGAAAUUAUGGGUAAGUCAGUAAUUGAUGCAGCUAUUAUUAUGGAGAAUUUUUAGCAUGUCCAUAGAAGAGCAUUUGUCUGGCUAAGAAGUAAAAUCACCAAACUACUAAACUGAUGCUAAGAACCAAAGCUUUAAAUCAACUAGAUUAAACCUCCCCAGGGAUUCUUGAGUUAUAAAGAUAAGUGCUUUUCAAGUCAGAACAUCUGUUUUUAUCCAGACUUACUAUAGAUAAUCAUACACACAAGAGAUAAGAUAGAUAGACAAGAGACUGUGAUACAUGAUUUAUAGACACACAUGUCAAUUCAACAACAUUUUUGCACUCUAGGGAUACUAACAGAGUUAAUGUACUUCUGUGGGGCUAGCUGUUGUUUAGAGGCAGCAGGAAUCACACCACAUAAGGAAACCUAGUGUGAGGUUACUGACUUAGGUUAAUUACUGGCUAGUUUAAUUUGAAAAUAGCUCUGUGCAGUUAGGUAGAUUGAAACAUUUCUAAUUAUGUGUGUAAAGCAAUAUUUCUGGUUUCAGUUUUAAAAACCUG
This 818-nucleotide long non-coding RNA is filed under the name Cyanistes caeruleus (blue tit). RNAcentral's name for it is "lncRNA (ENSCCEG00000009531.1)". The record is from RNAcentral. Lineage: Eukaryota; Metazoa; Chordata; Aves; Passeriformes; Paridae.